Molecule: non-coding RNA, 31 nt
Filed under: Rattus norvegicus (Norway rat)
Lineage: Eukaryota; Metazoa; Chordata; Mammalia; Rodentia; Muridae
Source: RNAcentral
UGGAAAUUCUCUGUAUAACUCCAGGCCAAGU